GUUGUUGGUCGGAAUUCUUCUAUUUAUUUCUCUUUUCGUGAACGUGUCUUUAAUCUGGUCGUGUUUGGAAGCCCCUUCUUUCACUGAUUUCUCCAACUGAAAUUCGCGGUGCGCUUGGAUCUGUUAAUCAACUUUUUAUAUGUAUUGGGAUUCUUGCAGCAUUAGUAGCCGGUUUGCCUCUUGCAGGAAAUCCUAUAUGACAAUGUUUGGAAUUUUGGUUAUGCAUGACUUAACAGCAGCAAGUCAAGGUUCUU
Non-coding RNA from Arachis ipaensis, 254 nucleotides. Lineage: Eukaryota; Viridiplantae; Streptophyta; Magnoliopsida; Fabales; Fabaceae. The record is from RefSeq and is a predicted model, not a curated record.